Molecule: ribosomal RNA, 226 nt
Filed under: uncultured bacterium
Lineage: Bacteria
Description: partial 16S ribosomal RNA
Rfam family: Bacterial small subunit ribosomal RNA
Source: RNAcentral
GACGAAGGUGGCAAGCGUUGUUCGGAAUCACUGGGCAUAAAGCGCACGUAGGCGGCGGCGUAAGUUGGGUGUGAAAUCCCUCGGCCUAACCGAGGAACUGCGCCCAGUACUGCGUUGCUUGAGGAUCAAAGGGGUGCAUGGAAUUCCCGGUGGAGCGGUGAAAUGCGUUGAUAUCGGGAGGAACUCCGGCGGCGAAAGCGGUGCACUGGUUGAUUUCGUGACGCUG